Molecule: ribosomal RNA, 301 nt
Filed under: uncultured bacterium
Lineage: Bacteria
Description: partial 16S ribosomal RNA
Rfam family: Bacterial small subunit ribosomal RNA
Source: RNAcentral
CAGCAGCCACGGUAAUACGUAGGUGGCAAGCGUUGUCCGGAAUUAUUGGGCGUAAAGGGCUCGCAGGCGGUUCCUUAAGUCUGAUGUGAAAGCCCCCGGCUCAACCGGGGAGGGUCAUUGGAAACUGGGAAACUUGAGUGCAGAAGAGGAGAGUGGAAUUCCACGUGUAGCGGUGAAAUGCGUAGAGAUGUGGAGGAACGCCAGUGGCGAAGGCGACUCUCUGGUCUGUAACUGACGCUGAGGAGCGAAAGCGUGGGGAGCGAACAGGAUUAGAUACCCCCGUAGUCCCUGUCUCUUAUAC